AGAUAAGCCCGGGAAACUGGGUCUAAUACUGGAUGCUACAUGUCACCGCAUGGUGGUGUGUGGAAAGGGCUUACUGGUCUUGGAUGGGCUCACGGCCUAUCAGCUUGUUGGUGAGGUAAUGGCUCACCAAGGCGACGACGGGUAGCCGGCCUGAGAGGGUGACCGGCCACACUGGGACUGAGACACGGCCCAGACUCCUACGGGAGGCAGCAGUGGGGAAUAUUGCACAAUGGGCGAAAGCCUGAUGCAGCGACGCCGUGUGAGGGAUGACGGCCUUCGGGUUGUAAACCUCUUUCAGCAGGGAAGAAGCCACAAGUGACGGUACCUGCAGAAGAAGCGCCGGCUAACUACGUGCCAGCAGCCGCGGUAAUACGUAGGGCGCAAGCGUUGUCCGGAAUUAUUGGGCGCAAAGAGCUCGUAGGCGGUUUGUCGCGUCUGCUGUGAAAGCCCGGGGCUUAACCCCGGGUGUGCAGUGGGUACGGGCAGACUAGAGUGCAGUAGGGGAGACUGGAAUUCCUGGUGUAGCGGUGGAAUGCGCAGAUAUCAGGAGGAACACCGAUGGCGAAGGCAGGUCUCUGGGCUGUUACUGACGCUGAGGAGCGAAAGCAUGGGGAGCGAACAGGAUUAGAUACACUGCUAGUCCAUGC
RNAcentral lists this ribosomal RNA (647 nucleotides) under uncultured bacterium. RNAcentral's name for it is "bacterial SSU rRNA". It matches the Rfam family "Bacterial small subunit ribosomal RNA", at positions 141 to 800 of the family's 1533-position model. The record is from RNAcentral.